AACGAACGCUGGCGGCGUGCUUAACACAUGCAAGUCGAACGAAGUGGCGAACGGGUGAGUAACGCGUAAUCAACCUGCCCUUCAGGGGGGGACACCAGUUGAAAGCGACUGCUACUAACGCAUACGGAAGGAGGGGCUUGCGGUUGAGUAGCUAGGUGGGGGGGUAACGGACGCCCAAGGCGAGGGUCAGUAGCCGGUCUGAGAGGGUGAACGGCCACAAUUGGAAUUAGACACGGCCCCGACUCCUAAGGGAGGCAGCAGGGGGGAAUCUUCCGCAAUGGACGAAAGUCUGACGGAGCAACGCCGCGGGAGUGAUGACGGCCUUCGGGUUGUAAAGCUCCGUUAAGCGGGACGCGGUACCGGAAUAGAAAGCCACGGCUAACUACGUGCCAGCAGCCGCGGUAAUUC
This 408-nucleotide ribosomal RNA is filed under the name uncultured bacterium. Its description in RNAcentral is "partial 16S ribosomal RNA". It matches the Rfam family "Bacterial small subunit ribosomal RNA", at positions 29 to 526 of the family's 1533-position model. The record is from RNAcentral.